RNAcentral lists this ribosomal RNA (991 nucleotides) under uncultured bacterium. Its description in RNAcentral is "bacterial SSU rRNA". It matches the Rfam family "Bacterial small subunit ribosomal RNA", at positions 9 to 1004 of the family's 1533-position model. The record is from RNAcentral.
GAGUUUGAUCAUGGCUCAGGACGAACGCUGGCGGUGCGCCUUAUGCAUGCAAGUUGAGCGAAGCUUUUCAGUAGUUUACUACAGAAAAUGACUGAGCGGCGAACGGGUGAGUAACGCGUGAGCAAUCUACCUUAGUUACUGGGAUAGCCCGAGGAAACUCGGAUUAAUACCGGAUAUUCUUAUUUUUUCACAUGAAGUUUUAAGGAAAGGUCAGCCGAACUAAGAUGAGCUCGCGUUCUAUCAGCUAGUUGGUGGGGUAAAAGCCUACCAAGGCUACGACGGAUAGCUGGUCUGAGAGGACGAUCAGCCACACUGGGACUGAGACACGGCCCAGACUCCUACGGGAGGCUGCAGCAGGGAAUAUUGCGCAAUGAGCGAAAGCUUGACGCAGCGACACCGCGUGUGGGAUGACGGUUCUAGGAUUGUAAACCACUUUCAGGAGGGAAGAAAAUGACGGUACCUCCACAAGAAGACCCGGCCAACUACGUGCCAGCAGCCGCGGUAAUACGUAGGGGUCAAGCGUUGUCCGGAUUUAUUGGGCGUAAAGAGCUCGUAGGCGGUUCAACAAGUCGGUCGUAAAAGUUUAGGGCUCAACCCUAAAAUGUCGAUCGAUACUGUUGUGACUAGGAUACGGUAGAGGUGAAUGGAAUUCCGAGUGUAGCGGUGAAAUGCGUAGAUAUUCGGAGGAACACCAAUUGCGAAGGCAGUUCACUGGACCGUGAUCGACGCUGAGGAGCGAAAGCUAGGGGAGCAAACAGGAUUAGAUACCCUGGUAGUCCUAGCUGUAAACGAUGGAUACUAGAUGUAGGAACUGGGAUUGACGGUUUCUGUAUCGUAGCUAACGCGUUAAGUAUCCCGCCUGGGGAGUACGGUCGCAAGACUAAAACUCAAGGAAUUGACGGGACCCCGCACAAGCGGCGGAGCAUGCGGCUUAAUUCGAUGAUACCCGUAGAACCUUACCUGGACUUGANAAUAUANAGGGGAAAAGCUA